Long non-coding RNA from Loxodonta africana (African savanna elephant), 4332 nucleotides. RefSeq lists it as uncharacterized. Lineage: Eukaryota; Metazoa; Chordata; Mammalia; Proboscidea; Elephantidae. The transcript has 3 exons. The record is from RefSeq and is a predicted model, not a curated record.
UCACCUAUGCAUGUGGUGAAUGAAAUUACUAAAUCUUUAACGUUCACUCAAAUUUGUAUGCCUACAAUAAAAUGCCUUGAUCAUGGCAUGUUACGUGGUUUAUCCUUUGCUGGAUUUCCUUUGCUGGCAUCUUACGUAGGGUUUUGCAUCUCAGUUACUGAGUGUGCUUGUCCUCUAACUCUUCUUCUACCUUCCUUCUCUAAUUUGUUAUCAUUUUUAAACUAGCCUUAAGGAUCAAGUUAGGGGAGUAUCUCAUGGUUUUCUAAUCUCUGUUGACUAUGUACAAGAUUAAAAUGACUGUUUCUUGCAUGUUUGCUGGAACCUGACUGGAAACGAUCUAGGUCUGCCGUUUUCUUUGUAGGGAGAUCUUGAACUACUGACCCAUUUUAUUUAGUGGUUAAAGGCAUCUUCUGGUGCUAAUUUACUUAGAAAAAAUUCUGAUGCAUGUUCUAGGUUGCUCGAAUCUCAUCUUCAAAUAUUGAUUAUCAGGGCUUGUAGCCUCAUGGAAGGCAAUUCAUCAAUCCCAGAUUUCCCCAAAGUCAGGCUCUGCAACUCUUCCCGGUACCAAAUUCCCUCAUUUAAGACUUAUUUGCAAAGAGACAACAGUAUGCUAUCUGCGCAGUUGUUUAUCCACAACCUUCUUGAGUCCAUAAUGUGAGGAUAUAGUCUUCUAAUACUUUUUUUGUAAUUGUUCUCUUUCUUAUUUUUUUUUUUUUCCUUUUUUCACUGCCAAUACCCCUGCCCCCCGCCAGUCUAGUAGUUUUAAAGUUGUGCGUUUCAGGUUCAAGUCUGUAAUCCAACUGAGCUUCUGUGUGUGCUGCAUGUGUGCAUCAAAAGAACACGCUUCUAGAAGCAGAAAGCAGGCAGUGCGACUGUUGGGUGGUUGGCGGGGGAGGGGGAGGGGAGCUGCUGCUCAGAGAGGGCGCCCGAGGGAGGCAGGAGAUGCCGGGCUGCCCGCCGCAAGCCCGCAGGCUCCAAGGAGGCGGAACCCACGUGCACCAUGAGCCUUUUGAGACAGGCCCAAGCCCACCCAGCUGGGUGCUAACCUCGCAUCCGCCAGGCUUGCAGGUUCCACCAGGACUAGGGGAAGCCUAAGGCCAAGGAGGGCAAGGUCUAGGGUCUGGACCUGAGAACUGGUUCUGCCACUUGUGAUCGCAGCGCUUAUGCUGGAAAGGAGGGCAGGAAGCAUAUCGCAACGUGUGUCCGGACGAUGACCCAGAACGGGGGAGUUGUGGUCACCCACGGACUCUGGGUCUGCAUAUGGAGGCCCCCAGGGUGCAAUUCCAGGAGCAGAAGGCAAAGCCACAGAGGCCAAAGUGCACCUCGCCGAUGCUUCCCAGGGGCAUUUCCCCAAAUAUGGGGAGCAGUCCCUCCUCUGGGCUAGGGACUUUGUUUCCUCCAUUGUCAUCACUGACUGUGAGCAGACUCUAGUCUAUGCAGACUAAUGAGGAGUUAUCAAAAUGAGCUCCAAACUCCGGAUUUGAGUUAAGGAUCAUAAAUUAACACAGAGAAAUAUGACUUUAGCAAUAAGUGACUGUUUGAAGCCCAAGUUGCCUUAAAACACGGAAUUUCAGUCUUUCAGCUCCUCUGCUAAUCUAGUGACUAAGAACAGGAUCUCACUGGAGCUCAAAGAUGUGGGGCACUGGGAAUACUCUGGGUCUGUCUGCUCACGGCUGAUUGCCUGAUCCCAGUUUUAUUAUACAGCUUAAAUACAGACCAGAAGAGGAGUUUGGGGCUUGACACCUGACAUCUUAACACCAGUUCCUGUUUCUUGAGGAAGGAAGAGGUAAAAUAAAUCAGCAUUUACUGUGUCCUUCUCCAUCCCCGGAAGUCUUCAUGAAGACCCUCUCAGCUUCUACUUGAACGUGAAUAUGAGCAACUGAUCAUCUGUUCUGCAGUCAGCCCCUGGCCUGAUUCUGACUCAUGGUAUUGACCUUCUCCAUCAUCACCUUCCACAAAUUUGAUUCCUAUCUAUUCUGCCUGGAAUGGUUCACGAGUAUAGUCACCAUUUAUGUUCCUGACGAAAGCAGGUGAAGGCAUUCGUGCAGAGAGGCGAUUUCCAUGCGUGCAGCAAAGUGUGUGCUGAGAUGAUGAGUCGCUGGAGACCAGGGUGGACUCUUCAGACCCAGGAUAGGCCUCUGGCAGGUAUGUGUCAAUGUUUUCUGCCCAUGGCACUCACCCGGGUAUUUGCAUAGAAUGUCAUCAGCGGAAUUAGUAGUCUCCGGAGAGGCUGCCACAUGUCAACAAGCUUCACCUGGCCAGAGUACACCCGUGAUGUAGCUCCCCAAUCAGUCACCUUCCCCCUUUGCUCUUUCGUCUCUAGGCACUCUAUCAGGCACUCCAAGCUGGGAAGUGACUCAGGGAGAGAAGGAAGAGAUUUCAGAGAAUGAACACAUAUAGAGAGAGAGGCAAGAGAUGCUGAGUGAGGAUGUCUUGCGUACUGAUAUCCUGAGGAAAGUGGGAAAAUUGGACCCUGGCCUGCUCUGCCAAUGCCGUGAAGCAGUCCGCACCAGGGGCUCCCUUGUGCCUGCGUAGCCUUUCCCAGGGUGUGCUCAAAUCCUGUGACCACUAGGUGUCCUAGGUCACAAUGGAGGACCCUGUGUCAUCUGCCUGGCGGACUGGAUCUCUGCCAUUGGCUGAGUCUUGUCACCAGGCCCAUCAUAAGCUCUGCCCACUCUUCCGGUGGGGAGACUCUUUCCAUGGUGAUGGCAAAGAAACCUUAGUCCCGCCCACCUGGCCUUGACUUCACCUACCUGGCCUGCUGACCCUCACUCAGACCUCUGUGUCGAUCAAAAUGAAUGUUCACCAGUGGCCCGGUGUCAGCAUCUGGUAUAAAGGAUUCGGGACCUUGCCUGAGGCAGAAGGCAGCCUAGGUCUGCGGGUACCUGGAAGUCUAGUGACUUGUGACGCUGCUGCCAGUGAGAAAUGGUGACUCCCACACUCACAUAUCCCCUGGUGGCAGAAUGAUAGUGAUGGGUGGAGAAACAUCGCUCCGGAGCACUCGCGCAGUGGGGCACCGGCCAGAGGCCAGGGCCAGUAGUGGACGUCGCGGAGCUGAAUGGCGAGCCAGUGAAGGGCCCAAGGAUUUCUCCAAUGAGGCAAAAUGCAGAUCAAGCCAAGGAACAUAAAGAUAAAGCAGCUGAAGAAAUUAAAAAGGUUACUCAAGAACAUAGUUAAAAAUUUAAUAAGCUGCAAGAAACCAUAGAGAGACUGCAAUCAGAGAUUCAGAAGAUUAACAAUAAAAUUACAGAGUUAGAAAACUCAAUAGAAAGUAAGAAGAGCACAACUGAGGAAUUGGAAGGCAGAAUUACUGAGAUUGAAGAUGAAACUCUUGGGACUAAUAUAUUUGAAGAGAAAGCAGAUAAAAGAAAUUUAAAUGAAGAAAUCCAAAGAAUCAUGUGGGACUUUAUCAAGAGAAAUAACUAUGAGUGAUUUCAGUACCAGAACAGGGAGGGCUAACAGAAAAUACAAAGGGAACUGUUGAAGAUUUGUUGGCAGAAAACUUCCAUGAUAUCAUGAAAGAUGCUCAUCGAAUUCCACAUAAGGUAGAUCUCAAAAGAAAGUGACCGAGACACAUAAUAAUCAAACUUGCCAAAAUCAAAUAUAAAGAGAAUUUUAAGAGAGGCUAGGGAUAAAGGAAGUCACCAACAAAGGAGAGUAAAUAAUAAAAAACUUGGACUACUCAGCAGAAAUCAUGCAGGCAAGAAGGCAAAGGGAUGACUUACACAAAAUAUUGAAGGAAAAAAAUUGCCAGCCAGGAAUCAAACCAUAACCCUGGCCCUCUGGCCUUCGGGCCCUCUGGCCUUAGCCCUCUAACUCUAGCCCCUAAGCCCUGAGCCCCAAAGCCCCUAAGACCCUAAGCCCUUAGGUCCUAACCCCCAAGGCCCUAAACUCUAACCCUAACCCAAACCGUAACCCCUAUAGCCUAAACUCUACAACCUAAACACCUACACCCCAAAACACUACACAUCAAAACCCUACACACUAAACCCUAUACUCUAAGCCUCAAACCCUAAACCCAAACCUCAAAUCCCAAACCCUAAACCUAACCGUAAACCCUAAACCCUAACACCUAACCCUAACCCCUAACCACCCUAACCCUAAUGACCCUAACCCUAACCCUCGAACCCUAACCCUCUAACGCUAACAUGAAACCCUAAUCCGAAACCCUAACCCUCUAACUCUAACCUCUAACCCUCUAACCCUAGCCCUAAUCCUAACCCCAACCUCCAAACCUAACCCCAAACCCUAAACCUCAAAUCCCUAGCCCUAAACCUAAGAAUGAGCCUAAGCCUAACCCUAUCACUUAACUCUAAACCCUAAACCAUAACA